UACGUAGGGGGCAAGCGUUGUCCGGAUUUAUUGGGCGUAAAGCGCUCGCAGGUGGUUCGUCGCGUCGUGCGUGAAAGACCCCGGCUCAACUGGGGAGGGUCGUGCGAUACGGGCGAACUGGAGGCCAGUAGGGGGAUGCGGAAUUCCGGGUGUAGUGGUGGAAUGCGUAGAGAUCCGGAGGAACACCAGCGGCGAAGGCGGCAUCCUGGACUGGUCCUGACACUCAUGAGCGAAAGCGUGGGGAGCGAACGGG
This 253-nucleotide ribosomal RNA is filed under the name uncultured bacterium. RNAcentral's name for it is "partial 16S ribosomal RNA". It matches the Rfam family "Bacterial small subunit ribosomal RNA", at positions 524 to 776 of the family's 1533-position model. The record is from RNAcentral.